Molecule: ribosomal RNA, 279 nt
Filed under: uncultured prokaryote
Description: partial 16S ribosomal RNA
Rfam family: Bacterial small subunit ribosomal RNA
Source: RNAcentral
UACGUAUGGGGCGAGCGUUGUUCGGAAUUAUUGGGUGUAAAGGGCGUCUAGGCGGGAGAUUAAGUUAGAUGUGAAAGGCGUGGGCUUAACCCACGAAUUAGCAUCUAAAACUGGUUUUCUUGAGUUCGGGAGAGGAGAGCGGAAUUCUUGGUGUAGCGGUGAAAUGCGUAGAUAUCAAGAAGAACACCAGUGGCGAAGGCGACUCUCUGGCCUAGAAUUGACGCUGAAGCGCGAAAGCGUGGGUAGCGAACGGGAUUAGAUACCCCUGUAGUCCCUGAG